This 419-nucleotide ribosomal RNA is filed under the name Staphylococcus sp. enrichment culture clone TTGE_FP_156. Its description in RNAcentral is "bacterial SSU rRNA". It matches the Rfam family "Bacterial small subunit ribosomal RNA", at positions 975 to 1387 of the family's 1533-position model. Lineage: Bacteria; Bacillati; Bacillota; Bacilli; Caryophanales; Staphylococcaceae. The record is from RNAcentral.
UAGUUCAUUGACAUCCUUUGACCGCUCUAGAGUAGAGUCUUCCCCUUCGGGGGACAAAGUGACAGGUGGUGCAUGGUUGUCCUCCUCUCGUGUCGAGAGAUGUUGGGUUAACCCCCGCAACGAGCGCCCCCCUUAACUUUAUUUGCCAUCUUUAAUUUGGGCACUCUAAUUUGACUGCCGGUGACAAACCGGAGGAAGGUGGGGAUGACGUCAAAUCAUCAUGCCCCUUAUGAUUUGGGCUACACACGUGCUACAAUGGACAAUACAAAGGGCAGCUAAACCGCGAGGUCAAGCAAAUCCCAUAAAGUUGUUCUCAGUUCGGAUUGUAGUCUGCCUCUCCACUACAUGAACCUGGAAUCGCUAGUAAUCGUAUAUCAACAUGCUACGGAGAAUACUUUCCCGGGUCUUGUACACCCAGA